Molecule: ribosomal RNA, 657 nt
Filed under: Salmonella enterica subsp. enterica serovar Enteritidis
Lineage: Bacteria; Pseudomonadati; Pseudomonadota; Gammaproteobacteria; Enterobacterales; Enterobacteriaceae
Description: partial 23S ribosomal RNA
Rfam family: Bacterial large subunit ribosomal RNA
Source: RNAcentral
GGGUUGUGAGGUUAAGCGACUAAGCGUACACGGUGGAUGCCUAGGCAAUCAGAGGCGAUGAAGGACGUGCUAAUCUGCGAUAAGCGUCGGUAAGGUGAUAUGAACCGUGAUAACCGACGAUUUCCGAAUGGGGAAACCCAGUGCAAUUCGUUGCACUAUCGUUUGAUGAAUACAUAGUCAAACGAAGCGAACCGGGGGAACUGAAACAUCUCAGUACCCCGAGGAAAAGAAAUCAACCGAGAUUCCCCUAGUAGCGGCGAGCGAACGGGGAGCAGCCCAGAGUCUUAAUCAGCAUUAGCAUCAGGAGAACGGUCUGGAAAGGCCGGCAGUAAAGGGUGAUAGCCCCGUAUCCGAAGGUGUUAGUGUUGUGAACUCGACGAGUAGGGCGGGACACGUGUUAUCCUGUCUGAAUAUGGGGGGACCAUCCUCCAAGGCUAAAUACUCCUGAUUGACCGAUAGUGAACCAGUACCGUGAGGGAAAGGCGAAAAGAACCCCGGCGAGGGGAGUGAAAUAGAACCUGAAACCGUGUACGUACAAGCAGUGGGAGCCCCACCACCAAAGCAUUUUCUGGUGUUGAGGACAACUUUAAAGUGACAUUCAACACGCGUUGGCGGAGCGUUUUUUGCGACGCCCAACACACAAAACAAGCAGUGAAU